RNAcentral lists this ribosomal RNA (543 nucleotides) under Botryosphaeria dothidea. RNAcentral's name for it is "eukaryotic LSU rRNA". The stretch from base 181 to 334 matches the Rfam family "5.8S ribosomal RNA". Lineage: Eukaryota; Fungi; Ascomycota; Dothideomycetes; Botryosphaeriales; Botryosphaeriaceae. The record is from RNAcentral.
UAAGAAACUGAUCGGGCUCGGCCCGAUCCUCCCACCCUUUGUGUACCUACCUCUGUUGCUUUGGCGGGCCGCGGUCCUCCGCGGCCGCCCCCCUCCCCGGGGGGGUGGCCAGCGCCCGCCAGAGGACCAUCAAACUCCAGUCAGUAAACGAUGCAGUCUGAAAAACAUUUAAUAAACUAAAACUUUCAACAACGGAUCUCUUGGUUCUGGCAUCGAUGAAGAACGCAGCGAAAUGCGAUAAGUAAUGUGAAUUGCAGAAUUCAGUGAAUCAUCGAAUCUUUGAACGCACAUUGCGCCCUUUGGUAUUCCGAAGGGCAUGCCUGUUCGAGCGUCAUUACAACCCUCAAGCUCUGCUUGGUAUUGGGCACCGUCCUUUGCGGGCGCGCCUCAAAGACCUCGGCGGUGGCGUCUUGCCUCAAGCGUAGUAGAACAUACAUCUCGCUUCGGAGCGCAGGGCGUCGCCCGCCGGACGAACCUUCUGAACUUUUCUCAAGGUUGACCUCGGAUCAGGUAGGGAUACCCGCUGAACUUAAGCAUAUCAAA